This 460-nucleotide ribosomal RNA is filed under the name uncultured Gammaproteobacteria bacterium. RNAcentral's name for it is "bacterial SSU rRNA". It matches the Rfam family "Bacterial small subunit ribosomal RNA", at positions 32 to 495 of the family's 1533-position model. The record is from RNAcentral. Lineage: Bacteria; Pseudomonadati; Pseudomonadota; Gammaproteobacteria.
AACGCUGGCGGAAUGCUUAACACAUGCAAGUCGGGCGGUAACACUUCGGGUGACGAGCGGCGGACGGGUGCGUAACGCGUGAGAAUCUGCCUUUUAGUGGGGGACAACCCGAGGAAACUCGGGCUAAUACCGCAUAUGUCCUACGGGAUAAAGCAGGGGACCUUCGGGCCUUGCGCUAAAAGAUGAGCUCGCGUUAGAUUAGCUUGUUGGUGGGGUAACGGCUCACCAAGGCCACGAUCCGUAGCUGGUCUGAGAGGAUGAUCAGCCACAUCGGGACUGAGACACGGCCCGAACUCCUACGGGAGGCAGCAGUGGGGAAUAUUGGACAAUGGGGGCAACCCUGAUCCAGCCAUGCCGCGUGUGUGAAGAAGGCCCUCGGGUUGUAAAGCACUUUCAGCGAGGAAGAACGCCUAGCGGUUAAUACCCGCUAGGAAAGACAUCACUCGCAGAAGAAGCACCG